This 234-nucleotide unclassified non-coding RNA is filed under the name Passalora sp. RNAcentral's name for it is "partial contains 5.8S ribosomal RNA, internal transcribed spacer 2, and large subunit ribosomal RNA". The record is from RNAcentral. Lineage: Eukaryota; Fungi; Ascomycota; Dothideomycetes; Mycosphaerellales; Mycosphaerellaceae.
CGCACAUUGCGCCCUUUGAUAUUCCGGAGGGCAUACCCGUUCGAGCGUCAUUACACCACUCAAGCCUGGCUUGGUAUUGGGCGACGAGAUCACCUCCCGCCCCAAUUUCUCCGGCGGGACUGACCCGAAUUGCAAGCGUUGUAAUACAAAUUCGCACCGCAAGAAGGGCUUCCACGCCGUUAAAUAUUGAACAAGGUUGACCUCGGAUCGGGUAAGGAUACCCGCUGAACUUAA